AUGUUAUUUUUAACCGUGCGAAACGUAUCCAUUAUCACUAGUCUAAAUAUAAUAUUAUAUGUGUAACUUAGAAUCUAUCAACUAAACAAAUAAAACUUUUAAUCAAAUGUUAGAAUUAUACAUAGCAUACGGCGCAAACCGGCUAGUACUAUGUAGAAGAGGGAGUGGAGAACGACUAAGGGCAUAAUCGUUAUUAAUAGAAUAAUAUAGCGGCAAACAAGUAAUUUUAAUUAACAAUUUGGAUGAUUCUGGAGUCGUCUAUUUUCUCUCUUCUUGAAUAAGCAGAUCUCUUCAGUCUUCACAAAUUCAUCUCCAAGUAUUUCUCAUCGGCAGCUCUUCAUCUUCAAUUCUCUGAGCACUGGUGCAACCUAAAGCCUUUUUGGACAUUCAAUGCCAUCUGGUUAUGGAUGGACUUGUUAGCAUCAUUUCUUUGUUACUGAAUGGAUAAGAAAAGAUUGAAGAUCGUACGUCUCGAAGGAUUCAGAUAUGGUUAUAUUUACUGCAAUAAUAGAGUGUCGGUGAAAAUUCUGCGCACCAAGAAAGUUGCAAGGCUCAACGGAAUUUUUUGACCUCUCAUAAAGAAAAAAUAUUUAGGAGAUUGGACAGAUGAGCAGUUUCUACAUAGGCCUUACUCUUUCGUACUUGAAUUAUGUAAUGAUAUUCAAAAUGAUUGUAUUUUAAAAAAUGGUUACAAGAGUCGUUCUGCAUUUGCGAAAUACAAUGUAUUGUACGCCUAAAGAUAUGUAGAUGCAAGGAGAACUCUCAGGGGUUCUAAUAAUUUGCUAAUUGUAAGAAGUUAGUCAAUCGUUUUGUUACUUUCUUUAUGGUUAUGAUGAUAUGCUAACAGAUGUUCAUGCA
Capsicum annuum is the source of this 858-nucleotide long non-coding RNA. RefSeq lists it as uncharacterized. The record is from RefSeq and is a predicted model, not a curated record. The transcript is spliced from 2 exons. NCBI's taxonomy places the organism in Eukaryota, Viridiplantae, Streptophyta, Magnoliopsida, Solanales, Solanaceae.